This is a non-coding RNA of Sorex araneus (European shrew), 420 nucleotides long. NCBI's taxonomy places the organism in Eukaryota, Metazoa, Chordata, Mammalia, Eulipotyphla, Soricidae. The record is from the annotation of a RefSeq genome assembly.
AUGGAGUGUGGGCUGAGCUGGCUUCUCCUGGUGGCUGUGUUAGGAGGGGUCCAGUGUGAGGUGCAGCUGGUGGAGUCUGGGGGAGACUUGGUGCAGCCUGGCCGGUCCCUGACACUCUCCUGUGUAGCCUCUGGAUUCAAUUUGGGAAGCUAUUACAUGAACUGGGUCUGCCAGGCUCCAGGGAAGGGCCUAGAGUGGGUCUCACAAAUAAGUAGUAGUGGUGGUAGUACAUACUAUGCCGACUCUGUGAAGGGCCGAUUCACCAUCUCCAGAGAAAACAGGAAGAACACACUCUCUCUGCAAAUGAGCAGCCUGAGGGAGGAGGACACGGCCCUGUACAACUGUGCGAGAGAGACACACAGUGAGGGGAAGGCGCUGUGGGCCCAGACACAAACCACCUGCAGGAAGAAGCAGGGUUGA